RNAcentral lists this ribosomal RNA (757 nucleotides) under Mycena sp. Its description in RNAcentral is "partial 28S ribosomal RNA". It matches the Rfam family "Eukaryotic large subunit ribosomal RNA", at positions 106 to 852 of the family's 3401-position model. Lineage: Eukaryota; Fungi; Basidiomycota; Agaricomycetes; Agaricales; Mycenaceae. The record is from RNAcentral.
AGCUCAAAUUUAAAAUCUGGCGGCUUCGCCGUCCGAGUUGUAAUUUAGAGAAGUGCUAUCCGCGCUGGACCGUGUACAAGUCUCCUGGAAUGGAGCGUCAUAGAGGGUGAGAAUCCCGUCUUUGACACGGACUACCAGGGCAUUGUGAUACGCUCUCGAAGAGUCGAGUUGUUUGGGAAUGCAGCUCAAAAUGGGUGGUAAAUUCCAUCUAAAGCUAAAUAUUGGGGAGAGACCGAUAGCGAACAAGUACCGUGAGGGAAAGAUGAAAAGAACUUUGGAAAGAGAGUUAAACAGUACGUGAAAUUGCUGAAAGGGAAACGCUUGAAGUCAGUCGCGUCGUUCAGGAUUCAGCCUUGCUUUUGCUUGGUGCACUUCCUGUUCGAUGGGUCAGCAUCAGUUUUGGCCGGUGGAUAAAGGCUCAGAGAAUGUGGCAUCUUCGGAUGUGUUAUAGCUCUGGGUCACAUACAUCGGCUGGGACUGAGGAACUCAGCACGCCGCAAGGCCGGGUUUCGACCACGUUCGUGCUUAGGAUGCUGGCAUAAUGGCUUUAAUCGACCCGUCUUGAAACACGGACCAAGGAGUCUAACAUGCCUGCGAGUGUUUGGGUGGAAAACCCGAGCGCGUAAUGAAAGUGAAAGUUGAGAUCCCUGUCGUGGGGAGCAUCGACGCCCGGAGCAGACCUUUUGUGACGCAUCCGCGGUAGAGCAUGUAUGUUGGGACCCGAAAGAUGGUGAACUAUGCCUGAAUAGGGUGAAGC